GGUUGUAUAGUGUAGCGGCUAUCACUUUGGAUUUUGGUGGCCUCACGGUUCCCCAGACCUUCUAAAGAACCCGGCUCGAACCCGGGUACGACCU
Non-coding RNA from Lasiosphaeria hispida, 94 nucleotides. Lineage: Eukaryota; Fungi; Ascomycota; Sordariomycetes; Sordariales; Lasiosphaeriaceae. The record is from the annotation of a GenBank genome assembly.